Molecule: non-coding RNA, 182 nt
Filed under: Lachnospiraceae bacterium
Lineage: Bacteria; Bacillati; Bacillota; Clostridia; Lachnospirales; Lachnospiraceae
Description: 6S RNA
Rfam family: 6S / SsrS RNA
About the family: E. coli 6S RNA was the first non coding RNA to be sequenced, but its function was unknown until recently. It consists of 184 nucleotides that fold into an extended hairpin structure with a large single-stranded internal bulge. The 6S RNA specifically associates with RNA polymerase holoenzyme containing the sigma70 specificity factor.
Source: RNAcentral
UACAACCUCGGGUGCUCGAGUCUUGUUAUUUUUGAACCUACAGUAACUUUAAAAGGGAUUCCUAUAUUUGUAUGUGGAUGUCGGGCCGCACUGCAAUCAGCGGAUGGCAGAAGCAUACGUGCGGUUGCCCACCUAGCAUGGCUAGGAGUCAAAAGACAAGAGUCGGCAUUUCGGGGGAUUUU